UACGUAGGGUGCAAGCGUUGUCCGGGAUUAUUGGGCGUAAAGCGCACGUAGGCGGCUUCUUAAGUCAGGGGUGAAAUCCUGGAGCUCAACUCCAGAACUGCCUUUGAUACUGAGGAGCUUGAGUCCGGGAGAGGUGAGUGGAACUGCGAGUGUAGAGGUGAAAUUCGUAGAUAUUCGCAAGAACACCAGUGGCGAAGGCGGCUCACUGGCCCGGUACUGACGCUGAGGUGCGAAAGCGUGGGGAGCAAACAGG
RNAcentral lists this ribosomal RNA (253 nucleotides) under uncultured bacterium. Its description in RNAcentral is "partial 16S ribosomal RNA". It matches the Rfam family "Bacterial small subunit ribosomal RNA", at positions 524 to 776 of the family's 1533-position model. The record is from RNAcentral.